This 1006-nucleotide ribosomal RNA is filed under the name Halomonas sp. EG6. Its description in RNAcentral is "bacterial SSU rRNA". It matches the Rfam family "Bacterial small subunit ribosomal RNA", at positions 41 to 1068 of the family's 1533-position model. Lineage: Bacteria; Pseudomonadati; Pseudomonadota; Gammaproteobacteria; Oceanospirillales; Halomonadaceae. The record is from RNAcentral.
GGCAGGCCUACACAUGCAAGUCGAGCGGAAACGAUCCUAGCUUGCUAGGAGGCGUCGAGCGGCGGACGGGUGAGUAAUGCAUAGGAAUCUGCCCGGUAGUGGGGGAUAACUUGAGGAAACUCAAGCUAAUACCGCAUACGCCCUACGGGGGAAAGCAGGGGCUCUUCGGACCUUGCGCUAUCGGAUGAGCUUAUGUCGGAUUAGCUGGUUGGUGAGGUAACGGCUCACCAAGGCGACGAUCCGUAGCUGGUCUGAGAGGAUGAUCAGCCACAUCGGGACUGAGACACGGCCCGAACUCCUACGGGAGGCAGCAGUGGGGAAUAUUGGACAAUGGGGGCAACCCUGAUCCAGCCAUGCCGCGUGUGUGAAGAAGGCCCUCGGGUUGUAAAGCACUUUCAGCGAGGAAGAAUGCUUGUCGGUUAAUACCCGGCAAGGGAGACRUCACUCGCAGAAGAAGCACCGGCUAACUCCGUGCCAGCAGCCGCGGUAAUACGGAGGGUGCGAGCGUUAAUCGGAAUUACUGGGCGUAAAGCGUGCGUAGGCGGCUUGAUAAGCCGGUUGUGAAAGCCCCGGGCUCAACCUGGGAACGGCAUCCGGAACUGUUAGGCUAGAGUGCAGGAGAGGAAGGUAGAAUUCCCGGUGUAGCGGUGAAAUGCGUAGAGAUCGGGARGAAUACCAGUGGCGAAGGCGGCCUUCUGGACUGACACUGACGCUGAGGUACGAAAGCGUGGUUAGCAACAAGAUUAGAUACCCUGGUAGUCACGCCGUAACGAUGUCAACUACCGUUGGGGUCCUCGAGACUUUUGUGCGCAGUUACGCACUAAUCCACGCCUGGGAGUACGGCCGCCAGGUWAAACCUAAUAAUUACGGGGUCCCCCAAACCGGGAACAUGUGGUUAAAUCAAUGCCCGCAAAAACUUCCCCCUUGAACCGGCGAAUUUCAAAAGGAAUGGGGGCCUUCGGGAGCCCACAAAAGGCGCCGGUUGCCCAACCUCGGUGAAAAUUGG